CCUACGGGUGGCAGCAGUCGAGAAUCAUUCACAAUGGGGGAAACCCUGAUGGUGCGACGCCGCGUGGGGGAAUGAAGGUCUUCGGAUUGUAAACCCCUGUCAUGUGGGAGCAGAUUAAAAAGAUAGUACCACGAGAGGAAGAGUCGGCUAACUCUGUGACAGCAGCCGCGGUAAUACAGAGGUCUCAAGCGUUGUUCGGAAUCACUGGGCGUAAAGGGUGCGUAGGCUGUUUCGUAAGUCGUGUGUGAAAGGCGCGGGCUCAACCCGCGGACGGCACAUGAUACUGCGAGACUAGAGUAAGGGAGGGGGAACCGGAAUUCUCGGUGUAGCGGUGAAAUGCGUAGAUAUCGGGAGGAACACUCGUGGCGAAGGCGGGUUCCUGGACAGUAACUGACGCUGAGGCACGAAAGCGAGGGGAGCGAAAAGGAUUAGAUACCCGUGUAGUC
This 446-nucleotide ribosomal RNA is filed under the name uncultured bacterium. RNAcentral's name for it is "partial 16S ribosomal RNA". It matches the Rfam family "Bacterial small subunit ribosomal RNA", at positions 338 to 795 of the family's 1533-position model. The record is from RNAcentral.